CCUACGGGAGGCAGCAGUGAGGAAUAUUGGUCAAUGGGCGAGAGCCUGAACCAGCCAAGUCGCGUGAGGGAGGACGGCCCUAUGGGUUGUAAACCUCUGUUGUCGGGGAGCAAAAGCCGGACGGGUCCGGCUGUGAGAGGACCCGAAGAAAAAGCAGCGGCAAACUCCGGGGCAGCAGCCGCGGUAAGACGGGGGAUGCGAGGGGUAUCCGGAGUUCUUGGGUUUAAGGGGGGCGCAGGCGGAUUUUUAAGUCAGCGGUAAAAUCGUGGGGCUCACCCCCCUCCCGCCGUUGAAACUGGGGAUCUAGAGUGUGCGAGAGGUAUGCGGAAUGCGUGGUGUAGCGGUGAAAUGCAUAGAUAUCACGCAGAACCCCGAUUGCGAAGGCAGCAUACCGGUGCACAACUGACGCUCAGGCACGAAAGCGUGGGUAUCGAACAGGAUUAGAUACCCUUGUAGUC
RNAcentral lists this ribosomal RNA (458 nucleotides) under uncultured bacterium. RNAcentral's name for it is "partial 16S ribosomal RNA". It matches the Rfam family "Bacterial small subunit ribosomal RNA", at positions 338 to 795 of the family's 1533-position model. The record is from RNAcentral.